RNAcentral lists this transfer RNA (56 nucleotides) under Leptorhynchoides thecatus. Its description in RNAcentral is "tRNA-Val". The record is from RNAcentral. Lineage: Eukaryota; Metazoa; Acanthocephala; Palaeacanthocephala; Echinorhynchida; Rhadinorhynchidae.
ACUAGCGUAGUUAUUUUAAUAGCUUAUUUACAUUAAGUUGAUAGCUUCGGCUCGUU